RNAcentral lists this ribosomal RNA (440 nucleotides) under uncultured bacterium. RNAcentral's name for it is "bacterial SSU rRNA". It matches the Rfam family "Bacterial small subunit ribosomal RNA", at positions 338 to 795 of the family's 1533-position model. The record is from RNAcentral.
CCUACGGGUGGCUGCAGUGGGGAAUAUUGCACAAUGGGGGAAACCCUGAUGCAGCAACGCCGCGGGAGCGAAGAAGGCCUUCGGGUCGUAAAGCUCUGUCCUAAGGGAAGAAGCAUGACGGUACCUUAGGAGGAAGCCCCGGCUAACUACGCGCCAGCAGCCGCGGUAAUACGUAGGGGGUGAGCGUUAUCCGGAAUCACUGGGCGUAAAGGGUGCGUAGGCGGCCAAUUAAGCCAGAGGUGAAAGGCUACGGCUCAACCGUAGUAAGCCGUUGGAAAUGAAUGGCUUGAGUGCCGGGGAGGAGGGUGGAAUUCCUAGUGUAGCGGUGAAAUGCGUAGAUAUUAGGAGGAACACCAGUGGCGAAGGCGACUCUCUGGACUGUAACUGACGCUGUGGCACGAAAGCGUGGGGAGCAAACAGGAUUAGAUACCCCAGUAGUC